UUAAAUUGAAGAGUUUGAUCAUGGCUCAGAUUGAACGCUGGCGGCAGGCCUAACACAUGCAAGUCGAGCGGUAGCACAGAGAGCUUGCUCUCGGGUGACGAGCGGCGGACGGGUGAGUAAUGUCUGGGAAACUGCCUGAUGGAGGGGGAUAACUACUGGAAACGGUAGCUAAUACCGCAUAACGUCGCAAGACCAAAGUGGGGGACCUUCGGGCCUCAUGCCAUCAGAUGUGCCCAGAUGGGAUUAGCUAGUAGGUGGGGUAACGGCUCACCUAGGCGACGAUCCCUAGCUGGUCUGAGAGGAUGACCAGCCACACUGGAACUGAGACACGGUCCAGACUCCUACGGGAGGCAGCAGUGGGGAAUAUUGCACAAUGGGCGCAAGCCUGAUGCAGCCAUGCCGCGUGUGUGAAGAAGGCCUUCGGGUUGUAAAGCACUUUCAGCGGGGAGGAAGGCGAUAAGGUUAAUAACCUUGUCGAUUGACGUUACCCGCAGAAGAAGCACCGGCUAACUCCGUGCCAGCAGCCGCGGUAAUACGGAGGGUGCAAGCGUUAAUCGGAAUUACUGGGCGUAAAGCGCACGCAGGCGGUCUGUCAAGUCGGAUGUGAAAUCCCCGGGCUCAACCUGGGAACUGCAUUCGAAACUGGCAGGCUAGAGUCUUGUAGAGGGGGGUAGAAUUCCAGGUGUAGCGGUGAAAUGCGUAGAGAUCUGGAGGAAUACCGGUGGCGAAGGCGGCCCCCUGGACAAAGACUGACGCUCAGGUGCGAAAGCGUGGGGAGCAAACAGGAUUAGAUACCCUGGUAGUCCACGCCGUAAACGAUGUCGAUUUGGAGGUUGUGCCCUUGAGGCGUGGCUUCCGGAGCUAACGCGUUAAAUCGACCGCCUGGGGAGUACGGCCGCAAGGUUAAAACUCAAAUGAAUUGACGGGGGCCCGCACAAGCGGUGGAGCAUGUGGUUUAAUUCGAUGCAACGCGAAGAACCUUACCUGGUCUUGACAUCCACAGAACUUUCCAGAGAUGGAUUGGUGCCUUCGGGAACUGUGAGACAGGUGCUGCAUGGCUGUCGUCAGCUCGUGUUGUGAAAUGUUGGGUUAAGUCCCGCAACGAGCGCAACCCUUAUCCUUUGUUGCCAGCGGUCCGGCCGGGAACUCAAAGGAGACUGCCAGUGAUAAACUGGAGGAAGGUGGGGAUGACGUCAAGUCAUCAUGGCCCUUACGACCAGGGCUACACACGUGCUACAAUGGCAUAUACAAAGAGAAGCGACCUCGCGAGAGCAAGCGGACCUCAUAAAGUAUGUCGUAGUCCGGAUUGGAGUCUGCAACUCGACUCCAUGAAGUCGGAAUCGCUAGUAAUCGUAGAUCAGAAUGCUACGGUGAAUACGUUCCCGGGCCUUGUACACACCGCCCGUCACACCAUGGGAGUGGGUUGCAAAAGAAGUAGGUAGCUUAACCUUCGGGAGGGCGCUUACCACUUUGUGAUUCAUGACUGGGGUGAAGUCGUAACAAGGUAACCG
RNAcentral lists this ribosomal RNA (1511 nucleotides) under Klebsiella pneumoniae subsp. pneumoniae ST258-K28BO. RNAcentral's name for it is "SSU rRNA". It matches the Rfam family "Bacterial small subunit ribosomal RNA". The record is from RNAcentral. Lineage: Bacteria; Pseudomonadati; Pseudomonadota; Gammaproteobacteria; Enterobacterales; Enterobacteriaceae.